AUAUCAAAAUAUAGUUAAUGUAUCAUCUUUGAGAAUAUAAUUAAGAAAAUAACUUAUUAAUUAAUUUAUUAUAAUAUAAUAAUAUGAUUAAACAUAAAAAUACUUUAAUUUUAUAUCUACAUGUCAAUUCUUGUUACUUAUACAUCAGAAUAACAUAUAAGAAGCUUUCAAUGUCCUCAGUUAUAUAUAUCCUAUUCUAUGUUAAAAUUAAUUUGUAAUUGUAUUUAAUUAUAACAUUAUUUAAUGUGCCAUAACCGCAAUCUUUUUAAUCCAUUUCCUUUUGUCGGAUUAAGAAGAGAAAAUGCUGCGCGAUCCAUGAAUACCAUAGAUUUAACCGGAACAACAAAAUAAAAUUUCUAAAAAAAAAGAAGAAAAAGAGUAUCCUAUGCUGCCUGACAAGAUACAAGAAAAUAAAAUAAAACAAAACGCCCACCGUGGGGCUCGAACCCACGACCACAAGGUUAAGAGCCUUGCGCUCUACCAACUGAGCUAGACGGGCUGGCUGAACAAUUAUUGCAUAUAUUGCUAAUAAUAAAAAAUCAUUGCGGCUCCCCUUAAUAAAUGAUCCCUUUGGAGCUCUUCUAUAUAAAUUGAAAACACAUCAUGCCCGAUUCAACUCAAGACAUUAUAGUUUUUUUUUUUUUUUUCUUUUUGAAUCAAACAGCAAGAAUUCCAUUAAACAAGCAGGUCUAACUCAGUUCUAGACUCCCAAAUGUUAGCCCAGAAUCUGAUGAGUUCAGUUAGUUUUACUGAUGUUGCUAGGUAGAUGAAGUUUUCUGUACUGAUGCCAUAGAACAGAUAUUAUGGCUAAAAGCCAACUGUGAUUUGUAAUUUUAUUAUCCAUCCGAAUGAAAUGCAGUUAUCUCUAAAAAUUAAAAAAUUUGGAAAAAAAAAAAAAAAAAAAAGCAGGUCUAACUGCAACACGUUACAAAUAAAAGGAGGAGGAUUAGACCUCCAAACGACGACAUCAGACACGGAAUCAGUUGCUCUACAGCCAACUAACUCAUGGGCGGCAAGAUUCGGUGAUCUCUAGAAAAAAGAAACAAGACAAGUUCAAAGCCUUACAGUCAUUGAUAACUAAACUAAACUCAGAGCUUCAGCAACUUCUGGGACUAAAGGACCGACAGGCACUCCGUGAGCAGCAGCCACAGACCCACCUCCGGAAUUUCGCAGAACACAUCCAAAACCAAGCGUACCUGACUGGUUAAACAAAGCAGCAUCGACAUUACAUUUUAAACAACCUUGUUGUGUGGCUUCUGCCAUUUGAUUGCGCCGUCAUUUGCUGUAACUCCCCAGUUAACAACCUCUGCCACUUGAGCUGAUUGCCAUUGGAACAGAUAGGUGCUAACAACUUGGGUUUCAGAGUUACCUUGCGGAUCCAAACAAUAUCAUUCCGACAAAGCCCACGUAAUCAUAGCAGCUAAGCUCUUAUUCUCUGUUGAGGAGCUUGCCCAAAUUUCUGACAGCCAUUUCGCAACAGUUGAAACAUUGUAUCUGCAAAAUAUAUAAUAGUUUUGUAUAUAUAAUUGAAUUAAGUUUAAUUGAAACAGGUACCAUCAGAAUGAUCUUAUA
Long non-coding RNA from Ricinus communis (castor bean), 1572 nucleotides. RefSeq lists it as uncharacterized. NCBI's taxonomy places the organism in Eukaryota, Viridiplantae, Streptophyta, Magnoliopsida, Malpighiales, Euphorbiaceae. The transcript has 2 exons. The record is from RefSeq and is a predicted model, not a curated record.